CCUACGGGUAGCAGCAGUGAGGAAUAUUGGUCCAUGGACGAGAGUCUGAACCAGCCAAGUAGCGUGAAGGAUGACUGCCCUAUGGGUUGUAAACUUCUUUUAUAUGGGAAUAAAAUGUUCCACGUGUGGGAUUUUGUAUGUACCAUAUGAAUAAGGAUCGGCUAACUCCGUGCCAGCAGCCGCGGUAAUACGGAGGAUCCGAGCGUUAUCCGGAUUUAUUGGGUUUAAAGGGAGCGUAGGUGGAUUGUUAAGUCAGUUGUGAAAGUUUGCGGCUCAACCGUAAAAUUGCAGUUGAAACUGGCAGUCUUGAGUACAGUAGAGGUGGGCGGAAUUCGUGGGGUAGCGGUGAAAUGCUUAGAUAUCACGAAGAACUCCGAUUGCGAAGGCAGUUCACUGGACUGCAACUGACACUGAGGCUCGAAAGUGUGGGUAUCAAACAGGAUUAGAUACCCGAGUAGUC
This 460-nucleotide ribosomal RNA is filed under the name uncultured bacterium. RNAcentral's name for it is "partial 16S ribosomal RNA". It matches the Rfam family "Bacterial small subunit ribosomal RNA", at positions 338 to 795 of the family's 1533-position model. The record is from RNAcentral.